UUAGGCUGCCACUGAAUUGAGCGGGCUUGGCUAAAAUAUAAUUUGUAGACACCAGGCACCAGGGUCUUCGCCCACAACUUCAAUGCUGUCAGUGUACGGAAUUAUAAGCAUGCAGUUGAUUAUGUUAUAAUAUAUUUCGUAUGUGACAACAGCCUCAUGGAAAUCAUAUAUAUACUAGUUAUAAUAACCACAUGCAUGUAGAUUCUAUUUUUAUUCAUUAGAGACCAUGUACCCCGUCCUUUGCCAGGACUGUUGUCAGCAUUUCACUAGGGGAAACAGCAGCAUGAAGCAUAAUUCAAGAUGCACUUGUUUCGGAGCCUUAGCUUUUAUAUACUUGGCAUUCAGAAUUUCUGAACUAAUUUUUCUGAAAAAUUAUAUUGCUGCCACUUAUAUUGCUCCAACAGGAGCUUUACAUAUACUUCUUGCACUUCUACUGCAGCCUCAGCGGUGUUAAUGAGGUCAGAAUUACAACACCGUGUGAACAAUAUAUGUAAAUUUAGAGAUGGCCAUUUAAUUCCUAGUUGGGCUGUUACAUAGACUGUCACUAGGUAUAGUGGUGCCGCAUGCUCCACCAUGAACGCUGUUAUGUCCAGCCAGUGGGGGCAGCAACCUUCGAACCUCUCCUGCUUUCCUGAGACGACUCAGCUUUGUGAAGCUCACAAUAAGUUGCAUCGGACAGCCCAGUGGCGACACCAAGUUGCUGCUAGUUGCCAAAGCCGAUGGACAGAUGAACCAGCUAAUAGCUGGGCCAUCCCAGGAGCCAAGACAUGCCAAUGGAGUCAAGCGUGGCACCCCUGCCGACGAGCGUCCUCUUCUUUUUCUAGGGCAGUGAGCCGUGUGCACCCGGUGUGAUUUCUCUGAUUGUGUACUGUGAACAAAGGCGCCGGAUUAGUUGCACAUAGCCUCGUCCUCAAAGUGGAACCUUUGGUGACCACGAAUGCUCCAAAUGGAGAAUGGUGUGACUGCAGAUUUUCCUGCCCUAGUUGAUCUAGGGGAGACAAAGGGGAUUUAAGAACACUUUUUCAGCUCCUCAAGUGUGCCCUGGCCUGCUUUGACCUGAUAGCUCAUGCUACAAGAACAAUGUACUGCGCUCCAUGCUCCGGCCAGUGGUACACAAGAGCGAGAUGUGGCCAAAGCAAAGUGAAAGCCAUUUCUUUUGAAAGGGAGUUGCUAAUGGAGGGAUAUGGGGCCCAUUUGGAGAAGUACCCACUCUCAUCCAAACCAAACCAAGUCCAGGAUGGAAAUUUGCCAGACCUCUUGGCCUUUGGGCCACUGAUUGCAUGGCAGCUUUAUGACAAUAGGUGAGCUCGACUUCAUUGUGGUACUGCAGAGAGAUUGCAGUUCCCCUCUUGUGCUAGUUUAUCUUUCAAAUCAAAUUACAAGGUUUAACUGUAGCGAAACAUCACACGUGUCAUGAGGAACGCCAUAGUGAGGGCUCCCAGAAUCAUUUUUGAUUCCCUGGAGUUCCACCUAAAUCUACUUACAUGAACACUCUUGCAUUCCAACCCCAUCGCAAUGCUGCCAUCAGUGCUGGAAAUUUUAACCUGUUACCUCAUGCAGAGCAAAAUGCUAUAGCCACUACAGCAGGUUGCUCAUUUAAUUUUGCGUGGAAAUAAAACAAACAUGGCAUCUCCUUGCCCCUCUCACCUGAACUCGUCAUGGACCUGACUGAUUACGCCAAAGUUUGGGGACAUAUGUAGCAGAAAUUACUGUUUGUGGUUGAAAUAGAAGCUCACCUUCGAGACUGGCCAAAGGCACAUUGGCCUUAUACUAUAAAGGGGGGCAGAAUGCACACACAAACAAACUUUACGGAAGAGACAAAAGAAGCAAAAGGCGUUGCUUGCUUAACAUGGCCAAAGGCAGC
Dermacentor andersoni is the source of this 1864-nucleotide long non-coding RNA. RefSeq lists it as uncharacterized. The record is from RefSeq and is a predicted model, not a curated record. NCBI's taxonomy places the organism in Eukaryota, Metazoa, Arthropoda, Arachnida, Ixodida, Ixodidae.